CUUUGACAAUAGCUGUCAUUGCGGCAUCACUGCGGUCGCUCGUACGGACAUUGUUGUACUAAAAACAUAAUAAAAUAUGUUUUCCCCCCAUAAUAAUUGUAAACUUCACCUAGACUCUGGAGUAGCAUGUUUGCUUGUGAUAAAAUAGUUAUUUAUAUAAAGAUUACGACAAAGAAAGAAUUAUUGGAAAGUGCGAUAAGAGUGACUCCGGACAAACCAAUCAAUAAAGUAAUUUGGAAGUCCACAUGGCGGAGAAGGCGUGGAGACGGAGUGAUAGCGCCGAUGCGUGCACCAGAAAAACCUGGAUAAUGUAUUGGCAGACGACUGUGCUCUACCGUUCAAAGGACUGCUGCAACAGGCCAAGACCCCUGAUCAAAAAGGAAAAAUCGCACACGAACGUUACCGCAAUGCAGCGAGAAUCAUUUCGUCGGUGUCCCAUAAUGCCACUAUCUGUCCCGUACGGAAACACCAGAACACAGUUCUGGUGGAAUGUCGACGUGUUACAUAAACGGAGACGGAGGUUUUUGGCUGAGCACAAAACCACCAUCAUCCGGUGGUGGCGACGUCCGACGAUCGAUGAGCCGAUGAGGAAUGUGAUGAGCAGUAUAGCGACAUUUGUUUCACACCAUCAAAACUACAGCCGGCUGUUUGAGCAUCCCUCAGUAGUGGAAAAUACUAGCGAAUAGUUUUCCCUUCGAGUGUAUGCUCUCCUCUGCACGGGGACCAAGAUCCUCCCCACCAUCCGGAUGCUUGAUUUGUGUAUGACAUUGAACGUUGAACUAGGAGCGCAUGCUAGAAACCAUUAGCUCGAGAUUGGCAAAGGAAGGUCACAUUUUUCCGCAUUUUUACCCGCCCGAGACAGGUUGAGGAAUCUUUUCGAAGAAUCGCGGUGUAGGGAGGGAAGAGGAAGAGUGAGAGAAAAACACACACAUAAAUCUGUUUUACGAUCGCUUAGCUUCAUUUCGGUUUCAUCAUUUUAUUGCUCAAGUGGGAGAAACUCAGAAGCUUAAGGGAACAUUUUUUUUUUGGUUCCUCUACUAUUUUAAACUGUCUUUUAUAGUUGAGCUUCUGUAGAUGAGUAUCACAUUUUAAAACACAUUGUUCAAAAAAUGACACAAGCAUCAUUUUUCACUCCAUUAUGACAAGUGCGCCAUGUUUGAAUUGUUUCUUUUAUAGGUUUAGUUUGUAUCCGCCCUAAGAUUACUUUUAAUGGACGAAUGUAGUAAUAGGAAAAUGCUCACAAUAGAACAUCAAAACAGGGGGCUCAAAGUUACGUAAAAUGUUGUUGACAUUUACACCCUCACAACAACCAAUCAAAACCGAAUUCGAGAAUUGAACGAAUGAUCGCUUAGUGAUUAAAUCAUGCACGGGAGUCUUUUUAAAUGGUGGCCAGUAUUUCUUCCUCUUAAAUGUAGUGAAUCCCACUUAGUUUCGAAAAACUCUUCAGUUAAUUAUAGCAAUGGUAACGAGACACACCGAUCACACCACAAAGUAUUGAAACGGUUCGUUUAGUUUCCCUAGCGCUAUCCCUGGUUGGGAUAGUUUUGUAAUCACACUAAAUGGGACGCGACCCUCGCGGCUUUGAUGUCGCUCAUUAUCGUCAUAUGUGGCUUACUGUGUAGCUCAACUUAACGAUGCACGUUGAAAACUAAUCAAACUAAUGUGGACCAUUAAUACGGAAAACAUUGGACUACGUUCCCCAUUUUUGUGGCGGUAUGUUAUCAAGACUCAACAUCAUUGGAUGGAAUUUAAAAAUAUCUUUUCACGCGUGCCGAAAAAACGCAUACACUGAAGAGUUCAUAUUUUACCUCACGAUUUUUCAUAUAAAUCGCCCGUAACCGACCACCGUUGGAAUGCGAUCAACGCUCGCAGGAAUGGACCGAAAGCGAUUAACAUAUGUUUGUUUUUUUUUCCUCCACGUUCCACGUUCAUUGACCGUGGCGAGUUUUGGAAAAAAGGAGUGAGAGAGGAACAAAAAAUGAAUGUCUAAAAUAGGGUCAUUUUAUCGAAUUUUGUAAUAAGAAAGGAAAGAGAACAUCACACUCAUUAGUUAUUUUUGGAGAAUUUUAAACCCAGGCCGUAUAAUUAACAAAAACGCAAAACUUGAUGGAGGCGCCUGGUAUUUUGUAAAAACCACGUGGCGCUAAGGAUCAAUAAAGAAAUCAAAGGGAAGGUCAAGCAGAUUACAUUAAAAAAAAACACACCAAAGAAAUUCCAAUUUAAUCUAAAACGUAAUAUUAUCCCCCAUCAAAACUUCAAUCGAACCAAAAGAAAAAAAGAAAGAAACAGGUUAUUACGCAUUUCUGUAAUAAACAAAACCUGUUCAACCAGAGGAUGUUUGCUUUGUUUGGCAUUUUGGGCAUAAAAGAUCACUGGUUCCAAAGUUUCCAAAAAAAAAACACCUCACACCGGAUGUUGACCGUGGACGUAACGCUCAUUAAAAGUUGUGUAAAUAAAUCAAACAUCGCGAUAAUGGUCACUAACUCAUCCGGUUGGACAGUCCCACCGAAACCGAUUCACGGUCUUUUGGGCAUAUUUCACCCGCACGUUUAACGGUUCCUCUACUGCUCCCACCAUUUGGUUUCGGUGUGUCCUUGAACGCUUCGUAUGCCGUUGUUCUUAUGCCGCUUGCGAAUGUGUUUUUGCAAAAAAAGAAAACGGUGAAACCGAACCCAUCAUCAUCCGUCAUCGGUGAGCAACAUCUAACAUCUGUUUGGUACCGCCACAAAUCCCCCUCCCCUUGUAGUGCAGGCAGAAAAUGCAAAAUUCUUACGAUCUUUAGCACCAUCUUGGAGCGGAGGUGGGAAGCGGCAAAAAAUUAACCGAAUGUGAUGUGAUCGAACCAGUGAAGCAAAAAAUUAGAAAAAUACCACCAACUACACCGCAACGAAACCGUAUGGUUUUUCUAAAAUGUUGCCUGGUGCCACAACGGUUCUGUAUUCGUUGCAUUACGGUCGAAUUCAUUGCCAAGGUUUUGACCGUUUCAGCUGUGUGUACCGAGGGCCAAAAAAAAACCUGUCUCGUUGUCCCGCUCGGUUUCGCGAGUUCCGUUUUAGUCGCAAAAAUAAUUUACGUUCAUUCUUUAACGAAAUGCGAAUAGAAAACGACCGAUGCAAACACGUUCGUUCGUAUUGUCACAAGCGAAAAGUCCUUUUUCUUUCCCGGAUGCCGGAUAUGAACAGUGAACACUGUUGUAUUUCGCUCGGCAGCAGGGAUAGUUUCGGUCGGAAAUGUAUUCCAAUUUUAUGAGGAAUGUUUAACCGACGUUUUGUGCACCACCACCACCACCAGCCGGAUUUUGCCCUUUACCCUUGAUUUUGGGCGGAUCGCCACAACCGACACGGCGUGCUACGUGCCAUCUACGGCAACAUGAGACCAUGAACUCGGCUCGUGAUUUUUCGUGCACCGCAAAUGUAAACAACAUCAUCACUACCAUGCCCCCAUCAUGACGAUUGGGAUGUAACGAUCACCAUUCGUUUACAUUUUUCCCACCACGAGCACGAGUGGAAAAGUAGCUUUAAAUGUAUUGUUUUUAUCAUAAGGUACAGCAAAAAAAAAAGGUACGCUAAAUAGUUGGCAAAUGAUUCGAUUAUAACAGCUUUAUUAAAACACAAACUUUCUUACAUUUAUCAUCUUUAAAACAAAUAAUUCCACAAACUCUUCAACUCACACACCAAACCACAAGUUCAUGAAUGAAUCUACUGUCCCUGAAUGAUACGAAAAGGUUCCGUGUUACCCGAUGCGAUUCUGGUUUUCCCGUACCAAAAAGUUGGCAACGUACGUCCACAGCGCGCAACAGGGUCAAGCGAAUGGGUGAAGAAUUUAAAUGUUUGAUUCAACUCAAUCCCUGCACGAUCGUCAUUACGCUUCCUGUGGGAUGAUUUGUUUACAUGCCUAAGGAUGUAUCGUGUACGUGCCCCAAAAGAAAACACACACACACGCACACAGGGAAACCGAUUUUCCUGCGCUUCAAACGCAUUGCCGGAAAUGUCGCUUUGCAUUGGUGUUUCAUUUCAAAGCGACAGCAAAAAAGAAAAGCUGCUACUUGUUGGGAAAAUGUUCACAAAUCAUUUCUCUGCGCCAUGUUAAUUGAAAUAAUGUGUGAUCUGGUUUUUUGGGCGAGAAGGAAAUUGUACGAUUCAACUUUACCGAUAAUAAAUCUUUUUACCUAAAGCUUAAACUUAAUGCACAUGAAUCUGUGGAAUCUGUGGACAAGGUCGUCUAUAAAGAAAUAUUUGAAACAUUCCUGAAAUUAAUGCGUUAGAAUAAU
Molecule: long non-coding RNA, 4270 nt
Organism: Anopheles funestus (African malaria mosquito)
Lineage: Eukaryota; Metazoa; Arthropoda; Insecta; Diptera; Culicidae
Exons: 3
Source: RefSeq, a predicted model, not a curated record